CAGACAGAAGCCCGCUGGGUUGGGUGUUUAGCUGUUAAUUAAUUCUUUGUGGGAUCGAGGCCCACCUGUCUAG
Molecule: transfer RNA, 73 nt
Filed under: Sceloporus grammicus (Graphic spiny lizard)
Lineage: Eukaryota; Metazoa; Chordata; Lepidosauria; Squamata; Phrynosomatidae
Description: tRNA-Asn
Source: RNAcentral